CAGUGUAUUUACACCCUUCCUACUACACUUAAGAGCAGAAUUUCCCAUUAUUAUAAGUUUUUAAUUUUUUUCAGACCUUCUUCUUUCCAUCUAUGCCCUAUAAUAACACAAAUCCACCCCACAUACAUCCCCAAGAAUUUUUAAGAAAAAACCUCUAUUUAUAAACAGGCACUACUUGAAAUAAGGGUAAAAUUAGUAGUCUGUAACCUUCUAGGCGGAUAAUUCUACUUUCACUUUAAACGGUGGGUUGAAAAGAGCAUGCUGCAUCUUUGAUGUAAAAUAUCUCGAAAAAGAAGCAGGGACCCUAUUGCAAAUUUGGCCUUGUUGGAAAGGAUGGCAGGUGCCAGAGUGUAUCCCGACCCAUUUCAAGGCUAGCAGCAGAUGUCAUGAUGGACCUUUAAAAUCUUUCACAUGUGUACUUUCAUGAACCAUAUACAUUAUAUGAUUACAAAGUCUUACCAGUUAUGGGUUGCUAUCAAGGAAGCAACCGGGGAAGUCACUUCUGCGUACUGCACUUACAUGGGGUGGGGGGUGUUAGUAUGUUUCAGUCUGCAGUACUACAUUUGGAAAUAAACAAUACAAUAUAA
Long non-coding RNA from Ostrea edulis (European flat oyster), 587 nucleotides. RefSeq lists it as uncharacterized. Lineage: Eukaryota; Metazoa; Mollusca; Bivalvia; Ostreida; Ostreidae. The transcript has 2 exons. The record is from RefSeq and is a predicted model, not a curated record.